This 434-nucleotide ribosomal RNA is filed under the name Chromodoris magnifica. Its description in RNAcentral is "partial 16S ribosomal RNA". It matches the Rfam family "Bacterial large subunit ribosomal RNA", at positions 1817 to 2597 of the family's 2925-position model. Lineage: Eukaryota; Metazoa; Mollusca; Gastropoda; Nudibranchia; Chromodorididae. The record is from RNAcentral.
AGCCUUUCGAAAGGAUUAAAGGUUAUACCUGCCCAAUGUUAUAUUAAUGGCCGCGGUACUUUGACCGUGCUAAGGUAGCACAAUCAAUUGGCCCUUAAUUAGGGUCAGGUAUGAAUGGAGUUACGGGGCUUAGCUGUCUCUAGACUAUUUAAUUGAAGUUGCUAUAUAGGUGAAAAAGCCUGUAUUAAGAAAAAAGACGAGAAGACCCUUAGAGUUUUACUUAAAAAAGAGUUAUUUCUUCACUAGUUUUGUUGGGGCAACAUAGGAGAAGAACUAAACCUCCUAAAGGAUAUAAACCGAUGUUUUUAAAUGUGAAUAAACUACCUUAGGGAUAACAGCAUAAUUUUAAAAAUAAGUUUGUGACCUCGAUGUUGGACUAGGAAACUUAAGGGCUAGCCGCCUUUUGGUAAGGUUCUGUUCGAACUAUAAUUCCU